This is a non-coding RNA of Agelaius phoeniceus (red-winged blackbird), 358 nucleotides long. Lineage: Eukaryota; Metazoa; Chordata; Aves; Passeriformes; Icteridae. The record is from RefSeq and is a predicted model, not a curated record.
GUGAUGGACAGUUGUGUUGGCUUCCACUUUAUUUCCACAAAUUCUUCAGUUCUGUGUGACUGCAAAAAUCUUUCCUCUAUUUCCAGGAGGGUGCUACUGGUUUACGUGAAGACAAAUAUCUUUGGAACAAAAAGACUCUUUUCUGUCAAAGCUGGAAGAUGGUUUUGGCUCUUCUUUUUUAUUAUUAUUGUUUCUAAAUUGUUUUCUUCCUGCCCUCCUUCAGAGAAGUCCAAGAAUACUGCUGGAACUGACAAAAGAUGAAAAUAUGAUUUAUGCUGACAUCAUGUAUUACACAAGCAAAUCUGUUUUGUGAAAGACAGUUUUCUAUGGUGUGGAAAUAAAGAAUCAGUGAAUAGUU